Sapajus apella (tufted capuchin) is the source of this 757-nucleotide long non-coding RNA. RefSeq lists it as uncharacterized. The record is from RefSeq and is a predicted model, not a curated record. NCBI's taxonomy places the organism in Eukaryota, Metazoa, Chordata, Mammalia, Primates, Cebidae. The transcript is spliced from 2 exons.
UUUAUCUGUAAAAAAAUCUUUAUUUUUAUUUCAAGUAAUUUCUUCAAACUUCCAGAUGCAAAGUUUGAAUAAAAUCUUCACUCAAAGAUACAAAGGGUUAAUGAACGGUACGUGGAAUCACAAGAGAAUAUUUUGGAUGCAGGCCUAUUUCUGCAAGUCCAGUCUUCCUAGAUGACAUCUCACAACUGCUGUGUUCACACUGGAAGGAAAUAAAAGGCUAUAGUUCACCUCAUUCCAUAUUUAUAAUUAUAGCACUUGGUGUAAUUAUACCUGCUGUUUUAUACAUCAGGAUAGGACAAUAAAGAUUAUACAGUGUGAGGUCAAUUUACAAAAUGUUUCCUUAAACAAAAGGACUAUCCUGGAAUUUAUUUUACAGAUGAAAUUUUUCUUUUUUCUUUUUGGAGACCGACUUCCACAGUCACCCAGGCUGGAGUGCUGUGGUGCAGUCUUCUGUCCUGCAGCCCCCGCCUCCGGGUUUAGGCGAUUUCCAAUUCUAAGCAGCUGGGAUUACAGGUGUGUACCACCAUACCCGGUUAAUUUUUGGAUUUUUAGCAGAGGCGUGGUUUCAUCAUGUUGGCCAAACUGGUCUGGAAGUCCUGGCCUCUAGUGAUCUGCUGGCCUCACAAUCCCAAAGUGCUGAGAUUACAGGCAUGAGCCACUGCCACAACAAUUUUAAAUAGCAUGGAGGCCACUCAAUCUAAUAGGAACUGCCUUCCAUGCACCGUCUGACAUCCCUCAAUCUCUCCAUUCAGAGAAA